GCAAGUCGAGCGGUAAGGCCUUUCGGGGUACACGAGCGGCGAACGGGUGAGUAACACUUCGGUGAUCUGCCCUGCCAUUCGGUAUAAGCGUGGGAAACUGGGUCUAAUACCGGAUAUGACCUCCUAUCGCAUGGUGGGUGGUGGAAAGAUUUAUCGGUGCAGGAUGGGCCCGCGGCCUAUCAGCUUGUUGGUGGGGUAACGGCCUACCAAGGCGACGACGGGUAGCCGACCUGAGAGGGUGACC
Molecule: ribosomal RNA, 244 nt
Filed under: uncultured bacterium
Lineage: Bacteria
Description: partial 16S ribosomal RNA
Rfam family: Bacterial small subunit ribosomal RNA
Source: RNAcentral